AUACAGGGGGUGCGAGCGUUAAUCGGAAUAACUGGGCGUAAAGAGUACGUAGGCGGUUGCUUAAGUCAGAUGUGAAAGCCCCGGGCUCAACCUGGGAACUGCAUUUGAAACUGAGUGACUAGAGUUUAAGAGAGGGGAGUAGAAUUCCGGGUGUAGCGGUGAAAUGCGUAGAGAUCCGGAGGAAUACAAGUGGCGAAGGCGGCUCCCUGGCUUAAAACUGACGCUGAGGUACGAAAGCGUGGGUAGCAAACAGGAUUAGAAACCCCGGUAGUCC
Molecule: ribosomal RNA, 274 nt
Filed under: uncultured bacterium
Lineage: Bacteria
Description: partial 16S ribosomal RNA
Rfam family: Bacterial small subunit ribosomal RNA
Source: RNAcentral